CGGCCCCGCUCCCAGGGCGCGGCCGAGCCCGCUGCCCCGUUGCUGCCUCGCGGCACCUCGUAGCCAGGCUUCCCCAGCUUCUAAAAUUAGCUCCCCGAAAAACAGGAGAAAGCCGUGAACUCUGAAGUUUACUUACAUCCCAGUCUGAAUCAUGCACGCUUGGGGUGCAGCUCAGCAGUGAAGGGUUUGAAAAGCAUCGCAGACACAGAAGGGCUUUGGCUCCCUGAAACUUGGCAGGCAAACCACCCUUAAUCUUCAGACCUUCUCAGAGGCUCCCAACAUAAUUACAUGGUAUAAAUGAGCAAUCAAAUUCAUGGAUUAAGAAGCUCUGAGGACCAGCUGCAGACCACUCACCAAACCUUCUCGUGCCAUCUGUGUUUUGGAACCUCUGAUCUUUAAGACAUCUUGCUUCAUGGAAAGACCAUGCAAGACUAGCUGGACUUCAUAACCCACUUCUUCCUUGAAUGUGAAUAAAUGAAGGUUAUGUUAACA
RNAcentral lists this long non-coding RNA (492 nucleotides) under Struthio camelus australis. RNAcentral's name for it is "lncRNA (ENSSCUG00000013912.1)". The record is from RNAcentral. Lineage: Eukaryota; Metazoa; Chordata; Aves; Struthioniformes; Struthionidae.